UUAGGGGUCCAUUUGAAUAGGUAUGCAUUUUAGAUGAAUGUGAAUUUGAAUUUAUGUUUCAAGUAAAAACUCAUGAAGUAUUAGCUAAUAUCAAACUUAAAUACCCCUUCGAUUUUAAAUCUCAUCUAUCUGAAUAAACCCUAAUAUUAUUCACUUUUCAAUUGCAUCAUUUUAAAGAGACAAGAAUAGGUUGCUACUGAUACAACUGAUGCUUGUAUGA
RNAcentral lists this unclassified non-coding RNA (220 nucleotides) under Hevea brasiliensis (rubber tree). Lineage: Eukaryota; Viridiplantae; Streptophyta; Magnoliopsida; Malpighiales; Euphorbiaceae. The record is from RNAcentral.